UACGUAGGGGCCUAGCGUUGUCCGGAUUUAUUGGGCGUAAAGAGCUCGUAGGCGGUUCGGUAAGUCAGGUGUGAAAUCUCCACGCUCAACGUGGAGGCGCCACCUGAAACUGCCGUGACUAGAGUCCGGAAGAGGAGAGUGGAAUUCCCGGUGUAGCGGUGAAAUGCGCAGAUAUCGGGAGGAACACCAGUAGCGAAGGCGGCUCGCUGGGCCAUUCCUGACGCUGAGACGCGAAAGCUAGGGGAGCGAACAGG
RNAcentral lists this ribosomal RNA (254 nucleotides) under uncultured bacterium. RNAcentral describes it as "partial 16S ribosomal RNA". It matches the Rfam family "Bacterial small subunit ribosomal RNA", at positions 524 to 776 of the family's 1533-position model. The record is from RNAcentral.